RNAcentral lists this ribosomal RNA (393 nucleotides) under uncultured bacterium. RNAcentral's name for it is "partial 16S ribosomal RNA". It matches the Rfam family "Bacterial small subunit ribosomal RNA", at positions 523 to 918 of the family's 1533-position model. The record is from RNAcentral.
AUACGGAGGAUGCGAGCGUUAUCCGGAUUUAUUGGGUUUAAAGGGUGCGCAGGCGGGCGAUUAAGUCAGCGGUGAAAGGCUCGGGCUCAACCGGAGCAGUGCCGUUGAUACUGGUUGUCUUGAAUGCGGUCAAGGCCGGCGGAAUGUGGCGUGUAGCGGGUAAAUGCAUAGAUAUGGCACAGAACACCGAUAGCGAAGGCAGCUGGCCGGGCCUGCAUUGACGCUCAGGCACGAAAGCGUGGGGAUCGAACAGGAUUAGAUACCCUGGUAGUCCACGCUGUAAACGAUGGACACUCGUUGUCGGCGACAGACAGUCGGCGGCCAAGCGAAAGUGAUAAGUGUCCCACCUGGGGAGUACGGUCGCAAGGCUGAAACUCAAAUGAAUUGACGGGG